RNAcentral lists this non-coding RNA (88 nucleotides) under Pseudomonas shahriarae. The record is from RNAcentral. Lineage: Bacteria; Pseudomonadati; Pseudomonadota; Gammaproteobacteria; Pseudomonadales; Pseudomonadaceae.
UGUUAUGGCGGCUGUGCGUGGGAGACCUUCGGGUCUGCCGGGGGCCGAUAUGCCCGGUCUUGCACACCUGCGCACAGCUGCCACCCGA